UACGUAGGGUGCGAGCGUUAAUCGGAUUUACUGGGCGUAAAGCGUGCGCAGGCGGCCCGUUAAGACAGGUGUGAAAUCCCUGGGCUCAACCUAGGAAUUGCGCUUGUGACUGGCGGGCUCGAGUACGGUAGAGGGGGGUGGAAUUCCUGGUGUAGCAGUGAAAUGCGUAGAGAUCAGGAUGAACACCGAUGGCGAAGGCAGCCCCCUGGGCCUGUACUGACGCUCAUGCACGAAAGCGUGGGGAGCAAACAGU
This 253-nucleotide ribosomal RNA is filed under the name uncultured microorganism. RNAcentral describes it as "partial 16S ribosomal RNA". It matches the Rfam family "Bacterial small subunit ribosomal RNA", at positions 524 to 776 of the family's 1533-position model. The record is from RNAcentral.